This is a long non-coding RNA of Coturnix japonica (Japanese quail), 1952 nucleotides long. NCBI's taxonomy places the organism in Eukaryota, Metazoa, Chordata, Aves, Galliformes, Phasianidae. The record is from Ensembl.
CUACAGACUUUAAAAGUUUAUACUCCAUUUCCAGCACUUGAACUGUUGCUCCAGGAUUAAAGAGAUGCAGCUGAGAUCAGCACUCAUCAUUUUUUGUUUCAUAGACACAGCAGAUUCAGGGAGGUGAUCACUUUUCCUCACGGCCUCUGCAGUAGGCACUUGGUGGUCACACCAGGAUGUGCUGCUAGCUGCAUUUCCCUCCCAUUAGUGCUUCAGUGAUGUGAUCAGGGUGAGUUGGCUAGAAAGGACAUCUGCAGCAAUUUCACCUCAUCUGUGAGAGAGCUGAAGCUUUGAAGUGACUCAAGUACAUCAACAGAGCUGAACACAUGUCUACACGAGGCAGCUAGGCCUUCAGUCAGAGGACAAGGAGGAUGCCCAGGAACCAGAUGCGUGCUAUGGGGCUCCUUAACAUGGCCAAGAGAUUUAUGCUGCCAUGGAAUGCCAUAAGCUCCAUGACCAGAAUCUUCUGGGAGUGUCAGUCACAGCAACAGUCACAUCAGAACUAUGGUAAAGAAAGGCAGCACAUCUACAGCAAGAGGAAUCAAUUCAAGCAAAGCAGUUGUGACUGUUCUGCACAACAAAAGCAUAAACAAACCAAACUCAAAAGUAAAACAAGAAACAGAGAAGAAUCUAUACAGGACCAUGGACUGAUUUUGGUAGAAUUCAAUGGUAAACACAGAGAUAGGAUUAUACAGGAAACUAAGGAGUCUUUUCUCUAACAUGCAGACGGGAAGAGGCAAGGAUGCUAUUCUAUUUAAAAUUCACUUUAGAAGCCACAUAAAUUCAUCUGUUAGCUGCUUAAAUGUUUAUGUCUCUACUUUCACUAUAUUUAGUAUACACUUACAGAAAAUUACUUCGGUGGGUUCUUCUUCACCUUUGAACCACUUUAGGAAGUUGUCUGAGGACCUAUAUUGCAUGUGGUAGUCUGAGGUUGGCCCUGACCUUACACAGGCAGCUCAGUGUCACCCAGCUCCUCAUCACUGCUGCCAAACGGCUUCAAACAGAUCUCAGCUUGUGUUGCGUGUCCUAAUAUGAGAAGAUACAGAAAACAGGUAGAUCUUCCUGGGACAUAUUGAGAUGCAUUAGUCUGAUUGGCAGAGCAGCCUGAGAGGAGUUGUUAUGCUGAAAAGCCUUCUGAGACCAGCUCUUACUUCUCUCCUCAUCUUGCCCAUAAAUGACAAAUAUUCAACCAAAGAACUGCCCAGCAGAGAAAACUUCUGCUUUGUAAUUACUACUCACAUGAACUGUUGUGAUUGUGUCUGGAUGGCAAGUGACUUGAUUACAUCUUCAUGACACUGAAGUGCAAAUUGGUCUCAUAAAGGUCAGGAGUGCUCUCAUGCACCUUUCAUGUCUGGUAUGUGCUCUUCAUACUUGUUAUUCUUGUUUUCACAACAUACCCACUUAUCUUGCUGUCAGGAUACCUGUACUAGAGCCUUGGCACUGCCACCAGCGGCAACAUGGUACUGUCAACUUCUUCUCCCUUUCCUGUUGCUAAUGGAGCGUAAGAUGAACACAACAUUCCUAUGUGUUUAGGCAGUAACUUCACAAUGACUGAUUUUUUUAUAAUGCGUUUUUUUAACAUUAAUCAGUAGGAGCUAAAUUCAUCUUUACUGUUGCUGUACUGCAAGCAGUAACCUUGUGGCAGGCAUAAAUCUACCCUCUGUGCCCUUCUAAUGCUGAUAUUUAUUGGAUAGUCCUCUGUGAAUAUUGCAGUAUUUUUAUUUUGCUGUCAAUUCAACCUAAAUUGCAGUAUUUUUUAGAAAAAGCUGUGUUUAGCAUGAAUUGAUUUUUGUUGAGUAUCACAAGCUUGGAAGUUAUGAAGCAGUGACUUCUCAUUUGUAUGUAACAGAACAGAAAAGUAGCAGUUUUACCUCCUUUUAAACAAUACUGGUUUAAUUUGUCUUGUAUCUGUGUAGGCUGCAAUAAAAGUUCAGUUGUUCUAUAGAAAAGCA